This 84-nucleotide transfer RNA is filed under the name Tatumella ptyseos ATCC 33301. RNAcentral describes it as "tRNA-Leu". It matches the Rfam family "tRNA". From Rfam's summary of the family: Transfer RNA (tRNA) molecules are approximately 80 nucleotides in length. Their secondary structure includes four short double-helical elements and three loops (D, anti-codon, and T loops). Further hydrogen bonds mediate the characteristic L-shaped molecular structure. tRNAs have two regions of fundamental functional importance: the anti-codon, which is responsible for specific mRNA codon recognition, and the 3' end, to which the tRNAs corresponding amino acid is attached (by aminoacyl-tRNA synthetases). tRNAs cope with the degeneracy of the genetic code in two manners: having more than one tRNA (with a specific anti-codon) for a particular amino acid; and 'wobble' base-pairing, i.e. permitting non-standard base-pairing at the 3rd anti-codon position. Lineage: Bacteria; Pseudomonadati; Pseudomonadota; Gammaproteobacteria; Enterobacterales; Erwiniaceae. The record is from RNAcentral.
AAGGUGGCGGAAUUGGUAGACGCGCUAGCUUCAGGUGUUAGUGUCUUAACGGACGUGAGGGUUCAAGUCCCUCUCUUCGCACCA